Molecule: ribosomal RNA, 533 nt
Filed under: Colletotrichum gloeosporioides
Lineage: Eukaryota; Fungi; Ascomycota; Sordariomycetes; Glomerellales; Glomerellaceae
Description: eukaryotic LSU rRNA
Rfam family: 5.8S ribosomal RNA (bases 183-336)
Source: RNAcentral
GGGAUCAUUACUGAGUUUACGCUCUACAACCCUUUGUGAACAUACCUAUAACUGUUGCUUCGGCGGGUAGGGUCUCCGCGACCCUCCCGGCCUCCCGCCCCCGGGCGGGUCGGCGCCCGCCGGAGGAUAACCAAACUCUGAUUUAACGACGUUUCUUCUGAGUGGUACAAGCAAAUAAUCAAAACUUUUAACAACGGAUCUCUUGGUUCUGGCAUCGAUGAAGAACGCAGCGAAAUGCGAUAAGUAAUGUGAAUUGCAGAAUUCAGUGAAUCAUCGAAUCUUUGAACGCACAUUGCGCCCGCCAGCAUUCUGGCGGGCAUGCCUGUUCGAGCGUCAUUUCAACCCUCAAGCUCUGCUUGGUGUUGGGGCCCUACAGCCGAUGUAGGCCCUCAAAGGUAGUGGCGGACCCUCCCGGAGCCUCCUUUGCGUAGUAACUUUACGUCUCGCACUGGGAUCCGGAGGGACUCUUGCCGUAAAACCCCCCAAUUUUCCAAAGGUUGACCUCGGAUCAGGUAGGAAUACCCGCUGAACUU